UUCUCCUCCCCCACAAACACACUUGUAGGUGUAAAAAGGAUAUGCACGCGCGCGUAUACAUUGGUGCACGUAACACUUAAUUAAUACGUAGCUUUUGGACGUAGCUUUUCUACACUUGCUUGACGACGCCUCGGGAGAGGCCUCCAAAACAUCCAUCUUGUCGAUCAGCUCGUCGUCGCCCAUCCCAGGUAUCAUCUCCGUCCAGGAGUCCAUCGGCGGCGCGCGUACGUCCUCGGUCCAAAUAAAAAGUGUAAUGGGGCGCCUCCGUUGUGGGUCGUUGGCCGAACCCUCACCGCUCCAUUUCCACCCGCCUUCACGCCUCCACUCCACUUCAAUGGAUGAAGCCUAUAAAACGGGAGCACCCCCGGCGGCCAUUGCCAAGCACCAGUCCACUCAUCAUCGCCAUCUCUUCUCUUCUCUUCUCUUCUCUUGCUCGCUGAUCUAUACAUACCAGAGAGGUAGUAGCUAGCUAGUGGUGAGCAUACAAUAUAAUCAGCAGCAAGAUAGUAAUGGCGCAGCAGCAGGGAAGAGGCAGUGGUGCUGUGGCCCUUGCGGCGGUGCUCCUCUGCGUGCUCCUUCAUGCCCACGUCGCGGGAGUCGGCCGUGUUCACCGUCGGCGACCGUGGCGGCUGGAGCUUCAGCACCAGCACCUGGACUAAUGGCAAGCGCUUCAAGGCUGGGGACGUCCUAGUGUUCAAGUACGACUCGACGGCGCACAACGUGGUGGCGGUGAACGCGGCUGGCUACAAAGGCUGCUCGGCGCCGCGAAGUGCCAAGGUGUACACGUCCGGCAACGACCGCGUCACGCUGGCCCGCGGCACCAACUACUUCAUCUGCAGCAUCCCCGGCCACUGCCAGUCCGGCAUGAAGAUCGCCGUGCCGCGGGCUACAUACAUCUACCUAUCGACUGCCUGAUUGUCAGUUCGAGUGGCUUGUAUCGACUCCCUGAUUGUUAUAUAUGAAUAAAACACACACCAUCAUGACU
Molecule: RNA transcript, 985 nt
Organism: Zea mays
Lineage: Eukaryota; Viridiplantae; Streptophyta; Magnoliopsida; Poales; Poaceae
Gene name: basic blue protein-like
Exons: 2
Source: RefSeq, a predicted model, not a curated record